CAUUAAACAUUCCGCCUGGGGAGUACGGGUCGCAAGAUUUAAAACUCAAAGGGAAUUGACGGGGGCCCGCACAAGCGGUGGAGCAUGUGGUUUAAUUGGGAAGCAACGCGCAGAACCUUACCAGCUCUUGACAUUCGGGGUAUGGGCAGUGGAGACAUUGUCCUUCAGUUCGGCUGGCCCCAAAACAGGUGCUGCAUGGCAGUCGUCAGCUCGUGUCGUGAGAUGUUGGGUUAAGUCCCGCAACGAGCGCAACCCUCGCCCUUAGUUGCCAGCAUUCAGUUGGGCACUCUAAGGGGACUGCCGGUGAUAAGCCGAGAGGAAGGUGGGGAUGACGUCAAGUCCUCAUGGCCCUUACGGGCUGGGCUACACACGUGCUACAAUGGUGGUGACAGUGGACAGCGAGACCGCGAGGUCGAGCUAAUCUCCAAAAGCCAUCUCAGUUCGGAUUGCACUCUGCAACUCGAGUGCAUGAAGUUGGAAUCGCUAGUAAUCGCAGAUCAGCAUGCUGCGGUGAAUACGUUCCCGGGCCUUGUACACACCGCCCGUCACACCAUGGGAGUUGGUUUUACCCGAAGGUAGUGCGCUAACCGCAAGGAGGCAGCUAACCACGGUAGGGUCAGCGACUGGGGUGAAGUCGUAACAAGCUAACC
This 650-nucleotide ribosomal RNA is filed under the name uncultured bacterium. Its description in RNAcentral is "bacterial SSU rRNA". It matches the Rfam family "Bacterial small subunit ribosomal RNA", at positions 858 to 1501 of the family's 1533-position model. The record is from RNAcentral.